Long non-coding RNA from Schistocerca gregaria, 695 nucleotides. RefSeq lists it as uncharacterized. Lineage: Eukaryota; Metazoa; Arthropoda; Insecta; Orthoptera; Acrididae. The record is from RefSeq and is a predicted model, not a curated record. The transcript has 2 exons.
AUUUCUGAUUUCCAGAAGUUAUAGGAGCAUCAAGAUGAAAUAAUUGUUUAACAUUAAUAACAUGACAAAAAAUCGCCCCAAUAAUGGUCUUAUCUUAUUGUAUUCAAUUAAGAACUUUUAUUUGAACAAUUAUUAUCUUAAGAAUUAUUAUUGGGGCAAUAGGAGGUUUAAAUCAAACAUCCUUACGACAACUUUUAGCAUAUUCAUCAAUCAGACAUCUAGGUUGAAUAAUUAGAUCAUUAACAGUCAGAGAAAACAUCUGAGAACUAUACUUCAUUAUUUACUCACUAUUAAGAUUAAUUAUAGUUUUAUUAUUUAAGCAAAUAAAUUUAUUUUUCAUAAAUCAAAUUUAUUCAGCCAGAAAUAUAAAAACCGAAAUUAAAUUCAUAAUAUUCUUAUCUUUAUUAUCUUUAGGUGGACUACCACCAUUCCUUGGAUUCUUACCAAAAUGAAUUGUAAUACAAUCAUUAAUAGAAAACAAUAUAACAACUAUUAUAACUAUUAUAGUUGUAUUAACUACAAUUACACUCUACUACUAUAUACGUAUUAGAUUCUCAGCUCUAAUUAUAUCAUACACAGAAAAUUCGUGAUCUAUAAAGAUAAAGUCCCAAAAAUCAAGAAUCAUUCUUCCUAUAACAGUAAUAAUUUCAACAAUAGGAUUGAUUUCAACAUCAACCUUAAUUUCAUUAUACUAA